ACAAGGUUUCCGUAGGUGAACCUGCGGAAGGAUCAUUGUCGAAUCCUGCAUAGCAGAACGACCCGUGAACAUGUAAUACAAUCGGGCGUCAUAGUGAUCAAGCUUUAGUUCGAGCAUUAUGGUGCCUAGUCGAUGUGUGCUCAAGAUUCCUUCGGGAUGACAGAUGUCACAUUGGCAUACUAACAAACCCCGGCACGGCAUGUGCCAAGGAAAUUAUAAUUUAAAGAAUGGGGUUUCAUGAUGUCCCGUUUUGCGGUGCUCUCAUGAAAUUUUAAUUCUUUGUAAUCACAAACGACUCUCGGCAACGGAUAUCUCGGCUCACGCAUCGAUGAAGAACGUAGCAAAAUGCGAUACUUGGUGUGAAUUGCAGAAUCCCGUGAACCAUCGAGUUUUUGAACGCAAGUUGCGCCCGAAGCCAUUUGGUUGAGGGCACGUCUGCCUGGGCGUCACGCAUCGUGUCGCCCCCUACCAUUCAUCCCUAAGUGGAUGUUUGGUGUGGGGGCGGAGAUUGGUCUCCCGUUUCAUUGACACGGUUGGCCAAAAUAGGAGUCCCCAUCGAUGGACGCACGACUAGUGGUGGUUGACAAAACCCUCGUCUUGUGUUGUGCGUCUUGAGUCGUACGGGAAGAACUCUUAAUAGACCCCAAUGUGUUGUCUUCUGAUGACGCUUCGACCGCGACCCCAGGUCAGGUGGGAUUACCCGCUGAGU
This 709-nucleotide ribosomal RNA is filed under the name Amphiglossa corrudifolia. RNAcentral describes it as "eukaryotic LSU rRNA". The stretch from base 294 to 449 matches the Rfam family "5.8S ribosomal RNA". Lineage: Eukaryota; Viridiplantae; Streptophyta; Magnoliopsida; Asterales; Asteraceae. The record is from RNAcentral.